AAAAAAUAAUUGAAGAUAAUCGUCCGAAUUUAAAUGAAAUGAUGAUUUACGAGGAUUCCGAUUGCAUUAAACCAAUAAUAGAAAAAUGCUGGGAUCCUGAUCCAGAAAAGCGGCCAACGAUGAAAGAGCUGUGUGAUUUUCUCCCGAAUUAUGACAUAUACAUAUUUUUUAACGAGAUCCAAUUUGGGAAAGUGAUGAAGAGAGGCAGAUAUUGUGAUUUUUUCACAGCAAAUUGGCAAAACAAAAAAAUUUUUGUACAACAAAUUAAAGACUAUUUUGAAGAAGACGAAAAAUCUUUCUUCAACGAAAUUCGUAAUUUGAAAAGGUUGAACCAUCCAAAUAUUAUUACAUUAUAUGGUGCCUUCAAAUAUCACGACAAUAUUUUAUGCGUACUUUCUGAGUUUGCAAAUUGUGGAUCACUUUAUGAUUGUAUACAUG
Drosophila sulfurigaster albostrigata is the source of this 438-nucleotide long non-coding RNA. RefSeq lists it as uncharacterized. The transcript has 3 exons. The record is from RefSeq and is a predicted model, not a curated record. Lineage: Eukaryota; Metazoa; Arthropoda; Insecta; Diptera; Drosophilidae.